This 76-nucleotide transfer RNA is filed under the name Mycobacterium sp. RNAcentral describes it as "tRNA-Thr". It matches the Rfam family "tRNA". Rfam says of the family: Transfer RNA (tRNA) molecules are approximately 80 nucleotides in length. Their secondary structure includes four short double-helical elements and three loops (D, anti-codon, and T loops). Further hydrogen bonds mediate the characteristic L-shaped molecular structure. tRNAs have two regions of fundamental functional importance: the anti-codon, which is responsible for specific mRNA codon recognition, and the 3' end, to which the tRNAs corresponding amino acid is attached (by aminoacyl-tRNA synthetases). tRNAs cope with the degeneracy of the genetic code in two manners: having more than one tRNA (with a specific anti-codon) for a particular amino acid; and 'wobble' base-pairing, i.e. permitting non-standard base-pairing at the 3rd anti-codon position. RNAcentral also lists the same sequence under 4 other names. Lineage: Bacteria; Bacillati; Actinomycetota; Actinomycetes; Mycobacteriales; Mycobacteriaceae. The record is from RNAcentral.
GCCGCCUUAGCUCAGUCGGUAGAGCGUCUCACUCGUAAUGAGAAGGUCCCGGGUUCGAUUCCCGGAGGCGGCCCCA